Molecule: ribosomal RNA, 253 nt
Filed under: uncultured bacterium
Lineage: Bacteria
Description: partial 16S ribosomal RNA
Rfam family: Bacterial small subunit ribosomal RNA
Source: RNAcentral
UACGAGGGGGGCAAGUGUUGUUCGGAAUCACUGGGCGUAAAGGGGGCGUAGGCGGAUGUUUAAGUUGGAUGUUUAAAACCGGGGCCCAACCUCGGAGCGGCAUCCAAAACUGGGCAUCUUGAAUAGGUCAGAGGCUGGUGGAAUUGGAGGUGUAGCGGUGGAAUGCGUAGAGAUCUCCAAGAACACCUAUUGCGAAGGCAGCCAGCUGGGACCAUAUUGACGCUGAGGCUCGAAAGCAUGGGGAGCAAACAGG